RNAcentral lists this long non-coding RNA (1417 nucleotides) under Marmota monax (woodchuck). The record is from RNAcentral. Lineage: Eukaryota; Metazoa; Chordata; Mammalia; Rodentia; Sciuridae.
GGAGAGCUGGGCUCCAGUGCAGUCAAGUCCACAUGUGUGUACUUCCUCAGCACCCUCAGGACCUGAGGGCUAAGUACAGCUCUCAGGGAUUUAGGAAUGAAGGGGAAACCAAAGUGGGUAAGUUGCUGGGUGCCCAGAUGCAUCUUGUGGUUUCAGGUCAAGGCCACCUAAAACCCAUCUUCCAUAGAUCUCAGCACUGUCCUGCCUCUGCCAUACCACACACCCAACUGGAAGAUAUAUAUCUGUAUAUUUUAUUUAUUGGUUCUUUGAUUGAUUGAUUGGCAGAGGCAGGUUUAUUUGCUUGAGUGUCUUAGCAGCCCUAGCAACUGGUCGAGGCACCUCUGAGCUCUACUGCAGCUCUCCAUGUUGGGGACUGAUGGAGCCAUGGCCCGGGCCAGCUUCACAACUCCAGAUGGUCUGUGGAUCUCUGCUGGCCCCUCCCCAGCCUCCCUCAUCACACAGCACGUGGCCCCUGGACCAGCAGCAGCAGCACCUAGGAGCUGGCUGGGCAUGCGGAAUCCUGACCCACCCCAGGACUACUGAGCCAGCCCCUGCCCUUGUAACAUUCCCUAAGCUUGAGGGGACCCUGAAGCAUGAGCGGCACCUGCCUUGGGACGUGGCUGUCCUCCUGCAGAAGGCAGGGAUCCAAGGCCUAGAAGCCGGAGGCCCUUCGCACCCCAGCCUCCACCCUCGUCCUUUCUUCCACCUUUCGUCCACCAAUGCCUCCCACCUAGUUUUGCAGGUAGAAAUGCUGAAGCCAGAGAUGGGCAGAGACCUGCCCUUUGCCCUCCACUGGCCGAGCUGGGUGACAGCUGCAUCCCUUGGGAGAUGCACAGCUCCUGUCCAUGUCCCAGGAUGGCUCUGUCUUCUGAUCAAGCAAAAAGGCUAAGCAGCCAUGACCCACUCAACCCACGGAUGCCGGGGGCUGAACCACAGAGAAGCAGCUUUUCUCCGUGGUCAAGUGUCCAUUUACCGACAACUCUUCAGUGCUACAAAAUUUGGAGCAACCUUUGUAGGAUAUUUGGUGGCCAUGUUGCCGUCACGUGUGGGAUGGCAGGUGAUCAAAAUGCAGCUGCAGAUGGCAUGGGCCCUGGAAUCGCUUAUUCAAAUUAUGUCACUUUUUCAGAUAGGACUUUGAUUUAUAGCUGCAGAAACAAUUUUUUUUUAAUGGAUAUACCGAACUACCGCAGGGUUCUUUUGCAGCAAGGAGACCUGCUCUUCCCAGGCCCCUCGCUGGGUCAUUGCUCCUCCAAUCCCUGUGCUUCCACCCAAUGGCAUUGUCCCUGGUGACAGGGGUGGCAUGUUCACAUUUGUUCCUAUCCCGGGUUCUGGCAUGCCAGGUGCUGGUAAAUGUUGGUUGGAUGAAUAAAGAUAAACAAGUCUGUGACUCGGUGGAACUUGCCUAGGUUUCUCUGAU